UAGCACAGAGAGCUUGCUCUCGGGUGACGAGCGGCGGACGGGUGAGUAAUGUCUGGGAAACUGCCUGAUGGAGGGGGAUAACUACUGGAAACGGUAGCUAAUACCGCAUAACGUCGCAAGACCAAAGUGGGGGACCUUCGGGCCUCAUGCCAUCAGAUGUGCCCAGAUGGGAUUAGCUAGUAGGUGGGGUAACGGCUCACCUAGGCGACGAUCCCUAGCUGGUCUGAGAGGAUGACCAGCCACACUGGAACUGAGACACGGUCCAGACUCCUACGGGAGGCAGCAGUGGGGAAUAUUGCACAAUGGGCGCAAGCCUGAUGCAGCCAUGCCGCGUGUGUGAAGAAGGCCUUCGGGUUGUAAAGCACUUUCAGCGGGGAGGAAGGCGGUAAGGU
This 392-nucleotide ribosomal RNA is filed under the name Klebsiella pneumoniae. RNAcentral describes it as "bacterial SSU rRNA". It matches the Rfam family "Bacterial small subunit ribosomal RNA", at positions 68 to 460 of the family's 1533-position model. The record is from RNAcentral. Lineage: Bacteria; Pseudomonadati; Pseudomonadota; Gammaproteobacteria; Enterobacterales; Enterobacteriaceae.